GAUGAAGAACGUAGCAAAAUGCGAUACUUGGUGUGAAUUGCAGAAUCCCGUGAACCAUCGAGUUUUUGAACGCAAGUUGCGCCCGAAGCCUUUUGGCCGAGGGCACGUCUGCCUGGGCGUCACGCAUCGCGUCGCCCCCCCACAAUUCUCCGUAAAGGGAACAUGUGUUUUGGGGGCGGAUAUUGGUCUCCCGUGCUCAUGGCGUGGUUGGCCGAAAUAGGAGUCCUUUCGAUGGGCGCACGAACUAGUGGUGGUCGUAAAAACCCUCGUCUUUUGUUUCGUGCUGUUGCUCGCAAGGUAAACUCUUUAAAAACCCCAAUGCGUCGUCUCUUGACGACGCUUCGACCGCGACCCCAGGUCAGGCGGGACUACCCGCUGAGUUUAAGCAUAUCAAUAAGCGGAGGA
RNAcentral lists this unclassified non-coding RNA (405 nucleotides) under soil metagenome. RNAcentral describes it as "partial contains 5.8S ribosomal RNA, internal transcribed spacer 2, and large subunit ribosomal RNA". The stretch from base 1 to 122 matches the Rfam family "5.8S ribosomal RNA", at positions 35 to 154 of the family's 154-position model. The record is from RNAcentral.